RNAcentral lists this ribosomal RNA (1083 nucleotides) under uncultured fungus. Its description in RNAcentral is "eukaryotic LSU rRNA". The stretch from base 497 to 1083 matches the Rfam family "Eukaryotic large subunit ribosomal RNA", at positions 1 to 599 of the family's 3401-position model. Lineage: Eukaryota; Fungi. The record is from RNAcentral.
GGAUCAUUACUGAGUUUACGCUCUACAACCCUUUGUGAACAUACCUAUAACUGUUGCUUCGGCGGGUAGGGUCUCCGUGACCCUCCCGGCCUCCCGCCCCCGGGCGGGUCGGCGCCCGCCGGAGGAUAACCAAACUCUGAUUUAACGACGUUUCUUCUGAGUGGUACAAGCAAAUAAUCAAAGCUUUUAACAACGGAUCUCUUGGUUCUGGCAUCGAUGAAGAACGCAGCGAAAUGCGAUAAGUAAUGUGAAUUGCAGAAUUCAGUGAAUCAUCGAAUCUUUGAACGCACAUUGCGCCCGCCAGCAUUCUGGCGGGCAUGCCUGUUCGAGCGUCAUUUCAACCCUCAAGCUCUGCUUGGUGUUGGGGCCCUACAGCUGAUGUAGGCCCUCAAAGGUAGUGGCGGACCCUCCCGGAGCCUCCUUUGCGUAGUAACUUUACGUCUCGCACUGGGAUCCGGAGGGACUCUUGCCGUAAAACCCCCAAUUUUCCAAAGGUUGACCUCGGAUCAGGUAGGAAUACCCGCUGAACUUAAGCAUAUCAAUAAGCGGAGGAAAAGAAACCAACAGGGAUUGCCUCAGUAACGGCGAGUGAAGCGGCAACAGCUCAAAUUUGAAAUCUGGCCCUAGGCCCGAGUUGUAAUUUGCAGAGGAUGCUUUUGGUGAGGUGCCUUCCAAGUUCCCUAGAACGGGACGCCAGAGAGGGUGAGAGCCCCGUACAGUUGGACACCAAGCCUUUGUAAAGCUCCUUCGACGAGUCGAGUAGUUUGGGAAUGCCGCUCAAAAUGGGAGGUAUAUUUCUUCUAAAGCUAAAUACCGGCCAGAGACCGAUAGCGCACAAGUAGAGUGAUCGAAAGAUGAAAAGCACUUUGAAAAGAGGGUUAAACAGCACGUGAAAUUGUUAAAAGGGAAGCGCUUGUGACCAGACUUGCGUCCGGUGAAUCACCCAGCUCUCGCGGCUGGGGCACUUCGCCGGCUCAGGCCAGCAUCAGCUCGCUGUCGGGGACAAAAGCUUCAGGAACGUAGCUCUCUUCGGGGAGUGUUAUAGCCUGUUGCAUAAUACCCUUCGGCGGGCUGAGGUACGCG